RNAcentral lists this ribosomal RNA (250 nucleotides) under uncultured bacterium. Its description in RNAcentral is "partial 16S ribosomal RNA". It matches the Rfam family "Bacterial small subunit ribosomal RNA", at positions 524 to 773 of the family's 1533-position model. The record is from RNAcentral.
GACGAACCACCCAAACGUUAUUCGGAAUUACUGGGCUUAAAGGGUGCGUAGGCGGCGCGGAAAGUUGGAUGUGAAAUCCCUCGGCUCAACCGAGGAACUGCGUUCAAAACUCCCGCGCUCGAGGAAGACAGAGGUAAGCGGAACUUCGGGUGGAGCGGUGAAAUGCGUUGAUAUCCGAAGGAACACCGGUGGCGAAAGCGGCUUACUGGGUCUUUUCUGACGCUGAUGCACGAAAGCUAGGGGAGCAAAC